UAUUUUAUAGUGUAAGAUGCAUAAAGAUUUUUGAUAUCUUAGGAAUUAGUUUGAUUCUAAUUGAAAUAA
RNAcentral lists this transfer RNA (69 nucleotides) under Praia tianmunica. RNAcentral's name for it is "tRNA-Gln". The record is from RNAcentral. Lineage: Eukaryota; Metazoa; Arthropoda; Insecta; Hymenoptera; Cimbicidae.